AUGCAAUACUGAUACACAUUCAUUUGCUCCGACUCUGUAGGAACUAUUGACAGCCUCCAUUUUUGUUUGCUUGAAUGUAUUGUUUUUGCUUAAUCUGAUGAAAAUCUUGAAAAAAAUUAUGCAGAUUUUCUAAAGCUCUCAUCUUUCUCUGUAAAUACCUCUUUUGGAGUUCCAGGCAUAGUCGAACAGUGAAGAACAAAGAGGGAAAAUGCUCCCAGUAUCAACGGCAAGAAUGUGUAGUGGAGCAGAAACAAUGAGACAAAAAAUUGCUGAAAGGUUCAAAAUAGUUAUGGGGUUUGCAGGUUUUGAAUUCUUUGGUGCAUUUCUAUGCUCGUUGUGGGUUUAUUGGUAUUGCUAGGCAGGUGUUUGAUGAAAUGACUGAGAGGGAUGUUGUGUCUUGGAAUAGCGUUUUAUGUGAAAGUGGGUGAAUCAGUUGUCGUGAUGGAAUGUCAUGAUGACUGGGUAUUUGGAUUUUCAUAAACCUGGGAAGUGCUUAAAGUUGUUCCAAGAAAUGACAAGGCGGGGAUUGAAUGGUAACAAUGCGACGAUAGUUGUUGCUCUUUCUACUUGUGCUCGGUCAGCUCGAAUGAAUGAAGAAAAAUCUGUUCAUGGGUCUCUUAUUAAGGUAUCUAAAGGUUUGAAUUUGAUUGUUAGUUCAACUUUGAUUCAUAUGUAUAGUAGAAGCGGAAGAGAAGACAUUGCUCAUCUAAUUUUUGAUAGGAUGUUGGUCAGGAAUAUAGUAUGCUGGAAUGCGAUGAUUUUGGGGUACUGCAUUCAUGGGAAUCAAAAGAUGGCCUUAAUCUGUGUGCAGACUUGGUGAAUUGUAGUUUAGAAGAUGGAGAAAUAAAUUAGGUUAAGAACAUGAAACAAGGCGAAGGGGAUCAUGUGCUUCCAGAUGAAAUCACUUUUGUUGGUGUCUUAUGCGCUUGUGUCCAUGAGGGACUGGUGACACAAGCAGGAAGAUACUUCGGCUAUAUGAGUGAUUUGCUUGGUGUAAAGCCCAAUUUCGCACAUUAUUGGUGCAUGGCUUAUUUUCUAGCACAUGUUGAUCUAAUGCAAGAGCCAAGAGGCAAUAAAAUAACUAAAGAACAUUCCGAUAGAGAGCAUUUGCCACUAUCAUCCUCGUUGCGGUCUGAAUUGCUUGGCUUAGCUUGUUUUAGAGGGGAUGUAAUGUUAGGAGAACAAAUUGCGAAUAAGUUGAUUGAACAAGAUCCUGAGAUAUUUUGGUGUCAUUUGUUGUUGGUCAACAUCUAUGCUACAGCUAGUCAUUGGGAUGAAGCAGCUCAAACAAAGGAGAGGUUCAAGAAGAGAAGUAUGGAAAGAGUGCCAGGUUGCAGUUUAAAGAACUUAAAAGAAUUAGUUCACAACAUGAUAGCGACAUAAAUUGCAGUUGUCUGUGCUUCUUUGAUACUAUGGGGGCUAAGAAAGGAGAAAUUUAGAAUGUGUUAGAAUCGAAAGUCAGCAUCAGAAACAUCUAAACAUCAUGGCAUCCUGUUGAUUGUUCCUCUCUUUAGUCUAAAGCUGUGCCCUUGUCUAAGAGUGGUGCAAAGUAGAGCUUUACAGGAAAAUAGCACCAAGAUGUUUGAGCUCAUGGUAUUCCCUAUCUCAUCUGCUAAUGAUGUUGUUAAGAAGUCCCACAUCGGUAGAGGGAUAGGAAAUUGGUUUCCUUGUAUGGAGUUGGACAAACCUCCCCUCGUGAGCUAGCUUUUAGGGUUGAGUUAGGCCCAGAUGAGUAGUAGUUGGAUUUAAAGUACUCUUCGUAUGUCUAUUUUAAUCCUAUUGUUUUUCUAAGAGUAUUUGACAUUAUGAUAAAUUUAUGUAUAGAACUUCCAAUAUUACUAUUUAUUUUAUUUUGAACCUUUUAUUUA
Molecule: long non-coding RNA, 1868 nt
Organism: Solanum lycopersicum (tomato)
Lineage: Eukaryota; Viridiplantae; Streptophyta; Magnoliopsida; Solanales; Solanaceae
Source: RefSeq, a predicted model, not a curated record